RNAcentral lists this ribosomal RNA (492 nucleotides) under uncultured bacterium. RNAcentral describes it as "partial 16S ribosomal RNA". It matches the Rfam family "Bacterial small subunit ribosomal RNA", at positions 30 to 507 of the family's 1533-position model. The record is from RNAcentral.
AUUGAACGCUGGCGGCAGGCCUAACACAUGCAAGUCGAACGGUAACAGGAAGAAGCUUGCUUCUUUGCUGACGCGUGGCGGACGGGGGUGUGAUGUACGGGGAACUGCCUGAUGGAGGGGGGGAACUACUGGAAACGGUAGCUAUAACAGCAUAACGUCCCAACGCCAAAAAGCGGGGCCUUUUGGCCCCUUGCCCUCGGAUGUGACCCGAUGUGGGAUUAGCUAGUAGGUGGGGUAACGGCUCACCUAGGCGACGAUCCGUAGCUGGUCUGAGAGGAUGACCAGCCACACUGGAACUGAGACACGGUCCAGACUCCUACGGGAGGCAGCAGUGGGGAAUAUUGCACAAUGGGCGCAAGCCUGAUGCAGCCAUGCCGCGUGUAUGAAGAAGGCCUUCGGGUUGUAAAGUACUUUCAGCGGGGAGGAAGGGAGUAAAGUUAAUACCUUGGCUCAUUGACGUUACCCGCAGAAGAAGCACCGGCUAACUCCGUG